UUAAGACUCUCGGCAACGGAUAUCUCGGCUCUUACAUCGAUGAAGAACGUAGCGAAAUGCGAUACUUGGUGUGAAUUGCAGAAUCCCGUGAACCAUCGAGUCUUUGAACGCAAGUUGCGCCCGAGGCCUUCGGGUCGAGGGCACGCCUGCCUGGGCGUCACGC
This 163-nucleotide ribosomal RNA is filed under the name Gagea x microfistulosa. RNAcentral's name for it is "5.8S ribosomal RNA". It matches the Rfam family "5.8S ribosomal RNA". From Rfam's summary of the family: 5.8S ribosomal RNA (5.8S rRNA) is a component of the large subunit of the eukaryotic ribosome. The record is from RNAcentral. Lineage: Eukaryota; Viridiplantae; Streptophyta; Magnoliopsida; Liliales; Liliaceae.